RNAcentral lists this long non-coding RNA (1044 nucleotides) under Anser brachyrhynchus (Pink-footed goose). RNAcentral describes it as "lncRNA (ENSABRG00000015085.1)". Lineage: Eukaryota; Metazoa; Chordata; Aves; Anseriformes; Anatidae. The record is from RNAcentral.
AGGCGCGGAAUUUCCCCGCCGCCUCCAGAAGAAGUUUCCCAGACUUGGCGGGGAGCGGAGGGGCAGAGCCGAGCCCUUGGGGGCCCCGCUCCCCACGGGGCCGCGCAGCCGGGGCCGCGCUGGCUUUGGGAUGCUCCGGGGGGCACCUCCGGGCCGGGGGGGCUCCCGUCCUCACCCCCCCCGGGCCGUGGGCAGCCCUCCCCGCACCGGGUACCCGAGCCCCGAGCGGUGCCACCGGAGGCUCCAGGCUGUUCCCAGCGCCGUGCUGAGCACCCCGGGACCGGCUGCGCCCCGGGUACCCCCUCCCGGUGCCCGGUACCCCCCCGAGGCGAGGCGCCGCGCUCCCUUCCGCGCCCCCGGCCGCCACGGAGCAGCCCGAGAGGCCACCCCCGGAGCUGUCCCCUUCGUCCCCUGUCCCCCCUUUCCCCCCUCCUAAGCCGCGGGGUUCGCCCACCUCGGGUGCCCGCUGGGUGCCGGGCGCGGCGCUGCGCUCCGCGGGGCUCCCGGUGCGCUCCCGGCCGCAGCAUCCCCGGCGCGGCGGCGGCGGCGGCGGCGGCAGAGGAGGAGCCUGGAGCCGGGAGCCCCGCUCAUCGGCCCGCCCCGGAGCAGCCCCCGGCCUUUGUGUCCCGGCCGUGCCCCCCCCCCCAGCCCCGCCCGCAGCUCCCCCUUCCCUCCCCGGCUGCCGCAAGCAGCGCCCCGCAGCGCGGUGCCGGCCCGGGGACGGGGGGGGCUCUCGGAGGCAGCCCCCCAGCACCACCGGCUGCGGUUUGGGGAAGGGGAUUUUCUGUGCUCCACACCGGGGGCGAGCCCCCGGGUCCGGCUCUGGCCAUAGAUGGGGCUGAGGGAGAGCGAGGGGUGCUGCGAGGGGACGCUUGGCACCAUGGAAGUGGAGCCUCCAGUACCCCGAACUGGGGCAGCCGCUGGGCUGAGCCACAGCUCGUCCACACAGCGGAAAUAAUGCCGCGUUCCCCGAGCCUCCGACCGCGGGGAGCUGAUCUGCAGGGCCGUGGCCAGAGAUAUCCGAAGGGCAGGUGGGGAAACUGA